AGUUAACUCUAUAAUAGAGUUACUCUAAAAUAAAGUGAAAUAUAAAAUAAUAUUAUUUUUUACUCUAUAUUUAGAGUAAAAAAACAACAUUACUAUAUAUUUAACUAUAUUACAGAGUGAACCAUUGGAGUAUAUCCAAUACUAUAAUAGAGUUAUUCUAUUUUAUAGUGAAAAUUAGAAGAAAUUAUUAUGUGCCAUUGGAAAUGCUCUAAAGACAUCAUUAACCCUAAAGUUGCUUAAGUGGGGUGCUAAAAAACUUUUUUUUUUUUGUCUGAAUUUUUUUUUUUUUUAAAAUGACCAAUCGCGGGCCGCCACGUGUUCGCGAAAGUCUAAUUAAGCACUCCUCCUUCUUCUUCUUCUUCUCCUCUUUCUACUUUUUAUAAUUAAAAAAACGCUAAGCACCCCUUAAGCACCUAUGGUUAAUGGUGUUCUUAGACCAUCAUUAUCGCAAUUUCUUAGUAGAGGUUUUAAACAAAAGUAGGCAUUUAUUUAAAUCAAAAUUAAAGAAAAUUAAAGUAACCGAUCCUCAAUACAGAGUUUUGACAACCGAUUAUAGAGAAGUUUCUUAAUACACGUGUCAGCAGACUGUUAUUUAGAAAUUUGUUUUUCUUUUCUCUCAUUUCUCUCUUCUCUCUCCUUUCUCUCCUCUUCUCUCGUGUUCUUCGACUCGAAAGAAAAGCGACAGAGACGCCCGCUUGAUCGCCGGCGUUCUGUUUCUCUCCGGCCACCGAGUCUUUCACCUUUUUUUACUAAGAUUGCAAAAAGAGUAUGGUGAGUGAAUGAUCGUGAGACAAUCGAAAGUUGAGGAAUUUGGAGAGAUUGGAGAACUCCGACGGAAAGACACUUCCUUGCGUUCGCACCUACGAGAACGACUCAGCUAGGCCCAACCUCGUCGGUACAGUAGCUUUCGGUCUGGCUUUAACCGCCGCUGCAGCCGACGGCGGCGAAGCCGCCGAUGAUCAUCUUCGUGAAAACGUCCCCGUCAUGGUGGUCGAGACUGUUUUCCCUGGAGGAUCCGACCCGAAGGCUACUGUCUCAACCCAAUUGUUCUUGCCUACUAAGAAAGUUAAAGAGCGAGUAACAUGACACAAGACGAGACAUGAAGUUGGCUGCAGUUUCUAAAAAAAACAUAAGUUGGUUGUUGUUUCUAAAAAAACACGAGGCAUGAAGUUGGUAGAAAGUGACUUGGGAGUGGAAGGAUCACGGACUUGUGUCUUGUGGUGAUUGUGUACUUUGUUGAUUGUGUAAUAUGUUUUAAGAAACCUUAUCUUUGUUCUAUCUACUUCCUCUUAAGUGUUAUCAACGCUCUCGAGAGUUAAUUGUUAUUACUGUGUGUUGUGCAGAUCAUUACAGGGAAUCAGAAUCAUCCAAGCAGCAGCUGGUGCUGGCUGUACAAUACUGAUAAGUGAUAGUGUAAACGUUUACUUGUGUGGGAAAGAUUCGUUCGGUGAAGCUGAAUACGGAGGGCAAGGGUCUAAUGUUCCUGGUCUUGUUGUCUAGUUCGUAUGUCAGGAUCACUCACUCUAUCUUCAAAGAACGUCAAGAAUGGCUCAGAAAAGGUGUGUGUGUGUGUGUGUGUUGGAGUGUCUGUUGUAGUGUCACGAGAUAUUUGUGUAUGUUGUAGUUGUUGUCUUGUGGCACAAACACUUUAUAAAUCACAAGAGAAGUGUUGUUGUUGUCGUCUUGUGUCACGGGUGAUUUAUAAAUCACAAGAGAAGUUGUAGUUGUUCUCUUGUGUCACAGACACUUUAUAAAUCACAAACACACUUGAUUCUCUUUAUAAAUCACAAUCAAUUCUUUUCUUUUUU
Molecule: long non-coding RNA, 1808 nt
Organism: Brassica napus (rape)
Lineage: Eukaryota; Viridiplantae; Streptophyta; Magnoliopsida; Brassicales; Brassicaceae
Exons: 5
Source: RefSeq, a predicted model, not a curated record